GGCAACAGCUCAAAUUUGAAAUCUGGCCUCGGCCCGAGUUGUAAUUUGCAGAGGAUGCUUUUGGUGCGGUGCCUUCCGAGUUCCCUGGAACGGGACGCCACAGAGGGUGAGAGCCCCGUAUGGUCGGACACCAAUCCUGUGUAAAGCUCCUUCGACGAGUCGAGUAGUUUGGGAAUGCUGCUCUAAAUGGGAGGUAAAUCUCUUCUAAAGCUAAAUACCGGCCAGAGACCGAUAGCGCACAAGUAGAGUGAUCGAAAGAUGAAAAGCACCUUGAAAAGGGGGUUAAACAGUACGUGAAAUUGUUGAAAGGGAAGCACUUGUGACCAGACUUGGGCCGGGCGGCUCAUCAGGGGUUCUCCCCUGUGCAUUCCGCCCGGUACAGGCCAGCAUCGGUUCUUACCGGGGGAUAAGAACGGCAGGAACGUGGCUCCCUCUCGGGGGAGUGUUAUAGCCUGCCGUACGAUACCCUGGCGGGGACCGAGGUUCGCGCUUCCGCAAGGAUGCUGGCGUAAUGGUUACUAGUGACCCGUCUUGAAACACGGACCAAGGAGUCGUCCAUUAGAGCGAGCGUUUGGGUGUAAAACCCGCACGCGUAAUGAAAGUGAAAUUAGGUGAGAGCUUCGGCGCAUCAUCGACCGAUCCUGAUGUUCUCGGAUGGAUUUGAGUAAGAGUUUUAACGGACGGACCCGAAAGACAGUGAACUAUGCUUGUAUAGGGUGAAGCCAGAGGAAACUCUGGUGGAGGCUCGCAGCGGUUCUGACGUGCAAAUUGA
This 772-nucleotide ribosomal RNA is filed under the name Tubakia californica. RNAcentral describes it as "eukaryotic LSU rRNA". It matches the Rfam family "Eukaryotic large subunit ribosomal RNA", at positions 100 to 901 of the family's 3401-position model. Lineage: Eukaryota; Fungi; Ascomycota; Sordariomycetes; Diaporthales; Tubakiaceae. The record is from RNAcentral.